UUGUGUUGAAGAAACCUGACCCAAGUUGUUUUUUCACUAUGGUUGAUGUUGCAGACCCCUUCGCUGUCUGUUGUUGAAUGAUCAAGUAUCAGGGGCAUGCUUUAGUGUCCUGGUGCUGAGUUGGCAUCGCUCAAGAAAGUCUGAAGAAGCUGAGGCUGCCCAGGCUGCGCGAGACAGAGAGUAUGAGCUCAGGUUCGCUCGUUAGGCGAUGAUGAUGGGAGGAGGUACUACACCUGGGAACUAGUGGGGUGGAUGCUAGUGGGUGAGAUCCUUUUUUUGGCCAUGCUUUCUUGCAUCUAGGAACUCGUGGAUGGCUGGGAGACAUUUUGUGAUUUUCGUGCUUGCUCCAUUAUGAUAACUGUGGAGCUCUGCUAUGUGUUGUUACAUGUGGAGGUUUUUGGUUUAACCUGUGAACAAGUGGAGAUUAUGUGAACCUGUGAUAUAAAUUGUUCUCUU
Molecule: long non-coding RNA, 456 nt
Organism: Lolium rigidum
Lineage: Eukaryota; Viridiplantae; Streptophyta; Magnoliopsida; Poales; Poaceae
Exons: 2
Source: RefSeq, a predicted model, not a curated record